AUUUAGUUCUAGUUUAUAGUUAGGUUAGUGUUAUCGUAAUCUGAAGCCUUCCAAGUGUUAAAAAUUCAAUGUCUAGUAAUACUGGGGGUUUAAUGCUAGGAAGAGUUCUAUUUCUCAAGGAAUUAGAGUUCCUUGGAUUUCCUGAUCUCGAGUUGCUAAUUCGUCGAGAGAUAACGCAAGAACAAUCUUCAGUAAUAUUUAACAUUCUACCUAAGUUUCAUUACAUACUAUAAAUAAAAUUCUAUAAUUACUUCAA
Long non-coding RNA from Pectinophora gossypiella (pink bollworm), 256 nucleotides. RefSeq lists it as uncharacterized. NCBI's taxonomy places the organism in Eukaryota, Metazoa, Arthropoda, Insecta, Lepidoptera, Gelechiidae. The record is from RefSeq and is a predicted model, not a curated record. The transcript is spliced from 2 exons.